GCCGGAAUUGCUAGUAAUGGCAGGUCAGCAUACUGCCGUGAAUACGUUCCCGGGCCUUGUACACACCGCCCGUCACACCAUGAGAGUUGGGAAUACCCGAAGCCUGUAAGCUAACUUUUAGAGGCAGCAGUCGAAGGUAGAAUCAAUGAUUGGGGUGAAGUCGUAACAAGGUAUC
Molecule: ribosomal RNA, 175 nt
Filed under: uncultured bacterium
Lineage: Bacteria
Description: partial 16S ribosomal RNA
Rfam family: Bacterial small subunit ribosomal RNA
Source: RNAcentral